CACGGGGGGAGCAAGCGUUGUUCGGAAUCACUGGGCGUAAAGGGCGUGCAGGCGGUCAGGUAAGUGGGAUGUGAAAUUCCCCGGCUCACCCGGGGGCCUGCAUCCCAAACUGCUUGGCUUGAGUAUGGGAGAGGAUGGAGGAAUUCCUGGUGUAGCGGUGAAAUGCGUAGAUAUCAGGAGGAACACCGGUGGCGAAGGCGUCCAUCUGGCCCAAUACUGACGCUGAAGCGCGAAAGCUAGGGGAGCAAACGGG
This 253-nucleotide ribosomal RNA is filed under the name uncultured bacterium. RNAcentral describes it as "partial 16S ribosomal RNA". It matches the Rfam family "Bacterial small subunit ribosomal RNA", at positions 524 to 776 of the family's 1533-position model. The record is from RNAcentral.